RNAcentral lists this long non-coding RNA (344 nucleotides) under Ananas comosus (pineapple). RNAcentral's name for it is "long non-coding RNA (ACOM_LNC015070)". The record is from RNAcentral. Lineage: Eukaryota; Viridiplantae; Streptophyta; Magnoliopsida; Poales; Bromeliaceae.
UAGAUUACCAACUCAUAACUUAGCCCAAAACCAUACCUUCUAUCUUCAAACACCAUGUGUCGUUUCAGAAUAACUCGUCAUAACAUACUCAGUCUUUCAGGCGAACAUUAUUUAUUCUUACAGGUACUACUCUUGGAUGUAUCUCUUAGGUCACACAUCUAUCUGGCCAUUUUGGUAUACAUCGAUUAUACUAACUGAUGUAACUCGAGUGUCGCUCAAUAUGAUAUCCCCAAGCGAUAUACGAUACCGCUCGGCAUCUUGCUCACGCCUGGCCAUCCCGACGUACAGAACUUAGUAUAUUAGAAAAUAAAGUUUCUAUAUAUUAUGAAAAUUUGAUAGAGAGA